CGCGUAGGCGGGUCGUUAAGUUGGGGGUGAAAGCCCAGGGCUCAACCCUGGAAUUGCCUUCAAUACUGGCGACCUUGAGUAUGGCAGAGGUGUGUGGAACUCCGAGUGUAGAGGUGAAAUUCGUAGAUAUUCGGAAGAACACCAGUGGCGAAGGCGACACACUGGGCCAUUACUGACGCUGAGGCGCGAAAGCGUGGGGAGCAAACAGGAUUAGAUACCCUGGUAGUCCACGCUGUAAACGAUGAGUGCUAGUUGUCGGUAUGCAUGCAUAUCGGUGACGCAGCUAACGCAUUAAGCACUCCGCCUGGGGAGUACGGUCGCAAGAUUAAA
This 330-nucleotide ribosomal RNA is filed under the name uncultured bacterium. RNAcentral's name for it is "bacterial SSU rRNA". It matches the Rfam family "Bacterial small subunit ribosomal RNA", at positions 568 to 898 of the family's 1533-position model. The record is from RNAcentral.